This 303-nucleotide ribosomal RNA is filed under the name uncultured bacterium. RNAcentral describes it as "partial 16S ribosomal RNA". It matches the Rfam family "Bacterial small subunit ribosomal RNA", at positions 507 to 807 of the family's 1533-position model. The record is from RNAcentral.
AGCAGUCGCCGCGGGAAUACAGAGGGUGCAAGCGUUAAUCGGAAUUACUGGGCGUAAAGCGCGCGUAGGUGGUUUGUUAAGUUGGAUGUGAAAUCCCCGGGCUCAACCUGGGAACUGCAUCCAAAACUGGCAAGCUAGAGUAUGGUAGAGGGUGGUGGAAUUUCCUGUGUAGCGGUGAAAUGCGUAGAUAUAGGAAGGAACACCAGUGGCGAAGGCGACCACCUGGACUGAUACUGACACUGAGGUGCGAAAGCGUGGGGAGCAAACAGGAUUAGAUACCCCGGUAGUCCCUGUCUCUUAUAC